RNAcentral lists this ribosomal RNA (63 nucleotides) under Burkholderia multivorans. Its description in RNAcentral is "partial 23S ribosomal RNA". RNAcentral also lists the same sequence under 2 other names. Lineage: Bacteria; Pseudomonadati; Pseudomonadota; Betaproteobacteria; Burkholderiales; Burkholderiaceae. The record is from RNAcentral.
GUUAUAGGGUCAAGCGAACAAGUGCAUGUGGUGGAUGCCUUGGCGAUCACAGGCGAUGAAGGA